UACGUAGGGGGCUAGCGUUGUCCGGAAUCAUUGGGCGUAAAGCGCGUGUAGGCGGCUUGGUAAGUCCGCUCUGAAAGCCCGGGGCUCAACCCCGGGAGGCGGGUGGAUACUGUCAAGCUCGAGUCCGGAAGAGGCGAGUGGAAUUCCUGGUGUAGCGGUGAAAUGCGCAGAUAUCAGGAGGAACACCAAUGGCGAAGGCAGCUCGCUGGGACGUGACUGACGCUGAGACGCGAAAGCGUGGGGAGCGAACAGG
RNAcentral lists this ribosomal RNA (253 nucleotides) under uncultured bacterium. RNAcentral's name for it is "partial 16S ribosomal RNA". It matches the Rfam family "Bacterial small subunit ribosomal RNA", at positions 524 to 776 of the family's 1533-position model. The record is from RNAcentral.